Long non-coding RNA from Rhinopithecus roxellana (golden snub-nosed monkey), 393 nucleotides. RefSeq lists it as uncharacterized. NCBI's taxonomy places the organism in Eukaryota, Metazoa, Chordata, Mammalia, Primates, Cercopithecidae. The transcript is spliced from 3 exons. The record is from RefSeq and is a predicted model, not a curated record.
CGUGAAGAGGUGCUUGCUUCCCCUUUGCCCUUCUGACACGAGUGUAAGUUCCCUAAGACCUCCCCAGCCAUGCAGAACUGUCCAGGGAGGAUGGAUGUUUGUCUGUUUUGUUCUCAGCUGGAUCUCUAACGGCUAGAACAGUUCCUGUCUCAUAGUAGGACCCUGUGGCACCUGCAUGUGAAUAAAUCCAGGACAGCCUAUUGGGUGAUGAGGGACACACAGCCAAGUCAUUCCCAGCACCCCAGCCAACCUGAAGCCAACCCACCAGACACAUGGAUGAGGCCAUCCUAGACCAUCCAGCCCUGGCAGAGCUGCUAGCUGACCAAAGAGAUCAGCUGAGAUGACACAGACCAGAAGAACCAUGUCACUCACAUAAUAAUUAAGAAUAAUAAA